UCUCUUUUUGGAAUUCAAUAAUUAAAUAAACCUUGGAAUAUUUUAGAAAAUUUUAAAUCCUUAUUUAAUUUAGUAUUUUCCAAUAACAAUCCAAAAUUAAAAAAUUUUUGGAGUGUUAUAGAUCUACCCCACUUAAACUAAAUCUCGUCCUGAGAUUUGAAGAAACUAAAGAGAAAGAUUAAGUAGAUCAUCAAGUUGUUUCGAGACUUUCAAGACAUGAUCAAAGGAUUAAAUAUAGAUAUAAAGGGCAAAAAGUAUGAUAAAAAUCGAUGACAUGGAAAGAUAAACGUAUGAGAUAGGAAUUGAUCUUCAGAUCUUGUAGUAUGAUAAGGUGCAAGGGCAAGAAGCUAGUAUUAACAAGAGAUGACUCAUAGGAGAUAAAGAUUAUAGUGCUCACAAUUUCCUUGAUUCCAGAUUUGUAUGAGAUAGUAGACAAAAGGAUAAAUGAAUGACAAAAGUUGACAAAGAUUUAGAUAGCCUCACGCUUAAUUAUUUGUAGUCCUAUGAGAUGUAAGAUCCAAGAUCGCACGUUGACAAAAAUGAUAAGGGCUCAUCGCAAGAACGAUAAGGAUCAAUCUAUAGUUCUUCAUAUCUUUCUGAUUAGAGAUUUUUGAGAGUGA
RNAcentral lists this long non-coding RNA (620 nucleotides) under Sorghum bicolor (sorghum). RNAcentral describes it as "long non-coding RNA (SBIC_LNC010421)". Lineage: Eukaryota; Viridiplantae; Streptophyta; Magnoliopsida; Poales; Poaceae. The record is from RNAcentral.